Molecule: ribosomal RNA, 254 nt
Filed under: uncultured bacterium
Lineage: Bacteria
Description: partial 16S ribosomal RNA
Rfam family: Bacterial small subunit ribosomal RNA
Source: RNAcentral
UACGAAGGGGGCUAGCGUUGCUCGGAAUCACUGGGCGUAAAGGGUGCGUAGGCGGGUCUUUUAAGUCAGGGGUGAAAUCCUGGAGCUCAACUCCAGAACUGCCUUUGAUACUGAGGGUCUCGAGACCGGUAGAGGUAAGUGGAACUGCGAGUGUAGAGGUGAAAUUCGUAGAUAUUCGGAAGAACACCAGUGGCGAAGGCGAGUCCCUGGACACUUCCUGACACUGAGGCACGAAAGCUAGGGGAGCAAACAGG